AACUGUUCUCAGGGCGGGGUGAAAUUCCCCACCGGCGGUAUCGGGCUUGCCCGGAGCCCGCGAGCGCUUUCAGGGCAACCUGGGAGGUCAGCAGAUCCGGUGCGAUGCCGGAGCCGACGGUAUAGUCCGGAUGGAAGAGAGCAUGC
This 146-nucleotide non-coding RNA is filed under the name Gillisella vitis. Its description in RNAcentral is "Agrobacterium vitis FMN sequence". It matches the Rfam family "FMN riboswitch aptamer (RFN element)". From Rfam's summary of the family: The RFN element is a highly conserved domain that is found frequently in the 5'-untranslated regions of prokaryotic mRNAs that encode for flavin mononucleotide (FMN) biosynthesis and transport proteins. Lineage: Bacteria; Pseudomonadati; Pseudomonadota; Alphaproteobacteria; Hyphomicrobiales; Rhizobiaceae. RNAcentral also lists the same sequence under 1 other name. The record is from RNAcentral.